CCUACGGGUGGCAGCAGUGGGGAAUUUUGGACAAUGGGCGCAAGCCUGAUCCAGCUAUUCCGCGUGUGGGAUGAAGGCCCUCGGGUUGUAAACCACUUUUGAAGAGAACGAAAAGACAACUUUUCCUAACGGGUGUUCCUGACCUUACUCCUAGAAUACGGCCCGGCUAAUUCCGGGCUAGCAGCCGCGGUAAUACGUAGGUGGCGAGCGUUAAUCGGAAUUACUGGGUGUAAAGGGUGCGCAGGCGGUUGAGUAAGUCAGAUGUGAAAUCCCGGAGCUUAACUGGAGAACUGCAUAUGUGACUGCUCGACUAGAGUGUGGGAGAGGGAGGUGGAAUUCCACGUGGAGCGGUGAAAUGCGUAGAUAUUAGGAAGAACACCGAUGGCGAAGGCAGCCUGCUGGAACGUAACUGACGCUGAGGCGCGAAAGCGUGGGGAGCAAACAGGAUUAGAUACCCUAGUAGUC
This 465-nucleotide ribosomal RNA is filed under the name uncultured bacterium. RNAcentral's name for it is "partial 16S ribosomal RNA". It matches the Rfam family "Bacterial small subunit ribosomal RNA", at positions 338 to 795 of the family's 1533-position model. The record is from RNAcentral.